Molecule: ribosomal RNA, 437 nt
Filed under: uncultured bacterium
Lineage: Bacteria
Description: partial 16S ribosomal RNA
Rfam family: Bacterial small subunit ribosomal RNA
Source: RNAcentral
AGCGAACGCUGGCGGCAGGCUUAACACAUGCAAGUCGAGCGGGCAUCCUUGUGGUGUCAGCGGCAGACGGGUGAGUAACGCGUGGGAACGUGCCCUUCGGUUCGGAAUAACUCAGGGAAACUUGAGCUAAUACCGGAUACGUUCGAGAGCAGAAAGGUUUAUCUGCCGAAGGAUCGGCCCGCGUCUGAUUAGCUGGUUGGUGAGGUUACGGCUCACCAAGGCGACGAUCAGUAGCUGGUCUGAGAGGAUGAUCAGCCACACUGGGACUGAGACACGGCCCAGACUCCUACGGGAGGCAGCAGUGGGGAAUAUUGGACAAUGGGGGCAACCCUGAUCCAGCCAUGCCGCGUGAGUGAUGACGGCCUUAGGGUUGUAAAGCUCUUUUCUCCGGGACGAUAAUGACGGUACCGGAGGAAUAAGCCCCGGCUAACUUCGUG